RNAcentral lists this non-coding RNA (27 nucleotides) under Rattus norvegicus (Norway rat). Lineage: Eukaryota; Metazoa; Chordata; Mammalia; Rodentia; Muridae. The record is from RNAcentral.
UAAAGACCAUUAUAGAGUAUUCUUUGC